This 599-nucleotide ribosomal RNA is filed under the name Curvularia lunata. Its description in RNAcentral is "eukaryotic LSU rRNA". The stretch from base 221 to 374 matches the Rfam family "5.8S ribosomal RNA". Lineage: Eukaryota; Fungi; Ascomycota; Dothideomycetes; Pleosporales; Pleosporaceae. The record is from RNAcentral.
UCCGUAGGUGAACCUGCGGAGGGAUCAUUACACAAUAAAAUAUGAAGGCUGUACGCGGCUGUGCUCUCGGGCCAGUUUUGCGGAGGCUGAAUUAUUUAUUACCCUUGUCUUUUGCGCACUUGUUGUUUCCUGGGCGGGUUCGCCCGCCACCAGGACCACAUCAUAAACCUUUUUUAUGCAGUUGCAAUCAGCGUCAGUAUAACAAAUGUAAAUCAUUUACAACUUUCAACAACGGAUCUCUUGGUUCUGGCAUCGAUGAAGAACGCAGCGAAAUGCGAUACGUAGUGUGAAUUGCAGAAUUCAGUGAAUCAUCGAAUCUUUGAACGCACAUUGCGCCCUUUGGUAUUCCAAAGGGCAUGCCUGUUCGAGCGUCAUUUGUACCCUCAAGCUUUGCUUGGUGUUGGGCGUUUUUUGUCUUUGGUUGCCAAAGACUCGCCUUAAAAGGAUUGGCAGCCGGCCUACUGGUUUCGCAGCGCAGCACAUUUUUGCGCUUGCAAUCAGCAAAAGAGGACGGCAAUCCAUCAAGACUCCUUCUCACGUUUGACCUCGGAUCAGGUAGGGAUACCCGCUGAACUUAAGCAUAUCAAUAAGCGGAGGAA